RNAcentral lists this ribosomal RNA (253 nucleotides) under uncultured bacterium. RNAcentral describes it as "partial 16S ribosomal RNA". It matches the Rfam family "Bacterial small subunit ribosomal RNA", at positions 524 to 776 of the family's 1533-position model. The record is from RNAcentral.
UACGGGGGGUGCGAGCGUUGUUCGGAAUUAUUGGGCGUAAAGCGCGUGCAGGCGGUUUUGUAAGUCUGAUGUGAAAGCCCUGGGCUCAACCCAGGAAGUGCAUUGGAUACUGCAAGACUUGAGUUCGGGAGAGGACAGUGGAAUUCCUGGUGUAGGGGUGAAAUCCGUAGAUAUCAGGAAGAACACCGGUGGCGAAGGCGGCUGUCUGGACCGAUACUGACGCUGAGAUGCGAAAGCGUGGGUAGCAAACAGG